RNAcentral lists this ribosomal RNA (472 nucleotides) under uncultured bacterium. RNAcentral's name for it is "partial 16S ribosomal RNA". It matches the Rfam family "Bacterial small subunit ribosomal RNA", at positions 30 to 507 of the family's 1533-position model. The record is from RNAcentral.
AGUGAACGCUGGCGGUAGGCCUAACACAUGCAAGUCGAACGGCAGCACAGUAAGAGCUUGCUCUUACGGGUGGCGAGAGGCGGACGGGUGAGGAAUACAACGGAAUCUACUUUUUCGUGGGGGCUAACGUAGGGAAACUUACGAUAAUACAGCAUACGACCUACGGGUGAAAGCAGGGGAUCUUCGGACCUUGCGCGUGUGAAUGGGCUGAUGGCGGAUUAGCUAGUUGGCGGGGUAAAGGCCAACCAAAGCGACGACGGGUAGCUGGCCUGAGAGGGUGAACGGCGACACGGGGACUGAGACACGGCCCAGACUCCUACGGGAGGCAGCAGUGGGGAAUAUUGCACAAUGGGCGAAAGCCUGAUGAAGAGACGCCGCGUGAGGGAUGACGGCCUUCGGGUUGUAAAACUCUUUCAGCAGGGAAGAAGCGAAAGUGACGGUACCUGCAGAAGAAGCACCGGCUAACUACGUG